GCCUAGUUAGCUUAGUUGGUAGUGCGUCUGCCUUUCAAUCGCUAGGUUGCGGGUUCGAUCCCCGCCCGGGGCG
RNAcentral lists this transfer RNA (73 nucleotides) under Diaphorina citri (Asian citrus psyllid). It matches the Rfam family "tRNA". Rfam says of the family: Transfer RNA (tRNA) molecules are approximately 80 nucleotides in length. Their secondary structure includes four short double-helical elements and three loops (D, anti-codon, and T loops). The record is from Rfam by way of RNAcentral. Lineage: Eukaryota; Metazoa; Arthropoda; Insecta; Hemiptera; Psyllidae.